AUUGAACGCUGGCGGCAGGCCUAACACAUGCAAGUCGAAUGGUAACAGGAAACAGCUUGCUGUUUCGCUGACGAGUGGCGGACGGGUGAGUAAUGUCUGGGAAACUGCCUGAUGGAGGGGGAUAACUACUGGAAACGGUAGCUAAUACCGCAUAACGUCGCAAGACCAAAGAGGGGGACCUUCGGGCCUCUUGCCAUCAGAUGUGCCCAGAUGGGAUUAGCUAGGAGGUGGGGUAACGGCUCACCUAGGCGACGAUCCCUAGCUGGUCUGAGAGGAAGACCAGCCACACUGGAACGGAGACACGGUCCAGACUCCUACGGGAGGCAGCAGUGGGGAAUAUUGCGCAAUGGGCGAAAGCCUGAUGCAGCCAUGCCGCGUGUAUGAAGAAGGCCUUCGGGUUGUAAAGUACUUUCAGCGGGGAGGAAGGGAGUAAAGUUAAUACCUUUGCUCAUUGACGUUACCCGAAGAAGAAGCACCGGCUAACUACGUG
RNAcentral lists this ribosomal RNA (490 nucleotides) under uncultured bacterium. RNAcentral's name for it is "partial 16S ribosomal RNA". It matches the Rfam family "Bacterial small subunit ribosomal RNA", at positions 30 to 507 of the family's 1533-position model. The record is from RNAcentral.